Molecule: long non-coding RNA, 1480 nt
Filed under: Phasianus colchicus (ring-necked pheasant)
Lineage: Eukaryota; Metazoa; Chordata; Aves; Galliformes; Phasianidae
Description: lncRNA (ENSPCLG00000013196.1)
Source: RNAcentral
CCCCUCCCUGAUGCGCCAUCGGUGUCCCCAUGGUGGGACACGAAAGGCACUGCUGUCCCGGCAGCUCCUCGCAGGCAGGUGGGACAUCUCACAGCUACGGACAAAGUGGGAGUGCAGCCUUAAAACCCAGGGGGGUGCCUGUGGGAACGCUGCCCUGGGAGCAGCCCCUUCCCAGCCCUGCCUCAGCCAAAAGGAGGGGGGAACCAAAUAUAGUCCCUCGGUCCCAUGGGAACACGCACAGACAUCGCCAGCCUGCAUUUCCCUCACCCGUCCCGCAGCUGUCUGCGUUCCUAGAAAACCACCCCCCUGUCCGUCCCCCAGGUUGGAUUUUGCCCAGCUUUGCAGCUUUGCAAACAAAUCUGGGAAUGCUAACAGCGCAGCGGCCAGAGCUGCUUCGGUGUCCCUGCGGUUUAUUUUUCUUGCGGCUGCAGCCGGAGGGGCCACGUCACCCAGAGACCUCAAAUCUGGGGGCAGAGAGAAGGAUCCCACAUUGCAGUUCCCUCCUGCACCGAAGGGAUGCUCAGCGGUGGGUGAAGCUCAGCCGCUCGCUCCCAGCCUCCCAAGGCUGCUGCUUUGUCCCAUGCUGCGGAGCUGCAGCCCAUCAGCCGGGCGUCGAGUCGGCAGGUCCGUCCCACCGCAGCCACGUGGCUGAAAGAGAAGCAGCACAGCAUGGAGAGGGAGAAGCGGCUCCGGUUGUGUCUCAGGGAAGGAAAGAAAUCUCCCGACCUUGGGGAGAGGGAGAGAGGAAGAGAGGGGGAACCCCAUGGGAAAGCACAUACAUGUUUGGGCAGCGAGAACAGAAGUGCUCAUUGCUCAUGAAAACACACAGAAGUUCUUUUCAGGCAUUGGCUUCCAGCAACAAAGCCAGAUUGAUGGAAGGAAAAAAAAAAAAAAAAGUGCUUUUAUUUUUGCGUUCGCCAAUGGAGAAAGCUAAAGAAAAAGAAAAAAGAAAAAAAAAAAGGAUGCAAAGAAUAAUCAGGGGAAUGCAGAGAGUCAGUGGAGGGAGCGGGGUCCCAGGAGCCUGCAGACAAUGCCUGCUGCCCCCGGGGUUUUUAAUUCUUGUGCUCAGGAAAUCAAACAAGCGUGCUAUUAUUUAUUCGGAGUCGGCAUCGGUUUCCGCGUGUUUCAUAGGGCUGUGCCUGGGCGCCGGGCUCGGUGUGUUUGGGGCUGAGCCUGCAGCUGCCAUUGUGCACUGACAUUCGGCCCCAUUGCCCCACGGCUCACGGAUCAGGUGCUGAUUUUGGGGUGCCGAGGGGUGAGCAGAGCCUUUUCCCGAUGCUUUGGUUCUGCACUGGGUGCAGGUGAGGUGCAGGAGCCGAGCGAUGCUCCCUAAGCCCGUGUGCUCCCCUCGUCCCCUCCUCGCCCUCAUCCCCUCCUCAUCCUCACCCCUUCGUCCCGUUCCCCUCGCAGAGCCCCGAGAGGAGCCCUCGGGAUGCCGCUGUGUGAGCUGCAGCUCAAGUGAGCGUUAUUCAGCUCCGCU